AAUUAUAUUAAAAUGGGAGAACGAGACUUAGAAAAAGGAAAGAAGAUUUUUGUUCAGAAAUGCUCUCAGUGUCACACUAUUGAGAUUUGUGGCAAACACAAAGUUGGUCCAAACCUAUAUGGGCUCUUUGGUCGCAUGACUGGUCGAGUUCACCGGGUUACAGCUACACAGAAAACCACAUGGAGAAGGGUGAGUAUUAUUUAGAAGGAAGAAACACUUUUGGCAGAUUUUUACAGAAUCCUAAAAGGUACAUUCCAGCGACCAUGAUGAUCUUUCCUGCAUCCGUAGGAAGGAGGAAAGGGUAUAUGUGAUAGAAAAUUUGAAAAAAUCCUUCACUUAA
Non-coding RNA from Danio rerio (zebrafish), 340 nucleotides. The record is from RefSeq and is a predicted model, not a curated record. NCBI's taxonomy places the organism in Eukaryota, Metazoa, Chordata, Actinopteri, Cypriniformes, Danionidae.